This 220-nucleotide long non-coding RNA is filed under the name Pelobates cultripes (western spadefoot toad). The record is from RNAcentral. Lineage: Eukaryota; Metazoa; Chordata; Amphibia; Anura; Pelobatidae.
GCCAGGGCUGUGUUUGAAUCAUGCUGGCUCUGCCCCUGAUCUGCCUCUUUGUCAGUCUCCACCAAUCCUAUGGGGAAGCACUGUGAUUGGAUCAGGCUACCACAUGUCAGCAGACUGCUUGUUUUUCUGAGUCAAACAGCAUGCAGAUUUACAGCUUCAGGUUUGAAUACAGUAAGCUUUUUACUAUAUGUAUGAAGGCAUGAGGGGCCCAAGGGGGCUA